RNAcentral lists this unclassified non-coding RNA (2666 nucleotides) under Hevea brasiliensis (rubber tree). Lineage: Eukaryota; Viridiplantae; Streptophyta; Magnoliopsida; Malpighiales; Euphorbiaceae. The record is from RNAcentral.
CUCUCUCUCUCUCUCUCUCUCUCCCCCUUCCUAUUUAUAUUUUGUGGUCUUAAGCCUUACUUUAGCUGUCUGUGAUUUAAACCUGGAUUCUCAGAUAUUCUCUGGGUUCUGUCUACAUUUAACAAUCUACAAUUCCGAUCUGGCCGGUUUGCAUUUAACCAUAAAUAGGGAAGGUUUUGAAGAAAGAUUUCUCAGACCUUCUGGAGAGAAGCUGUUGCCUACACAACUCUGGCCGACCCUCUUGUGAAAUUUGCUCCAACCAGAGCAGGUGGUGGUUCUCUGUUUUCUGGUUGCCCUUCUUGUCCAUCUUCAUCAUCUUUGCCAUUCUUUGGCGCUCGCUCAUUGCUUCGGCACCUUCCGAUUGAUUACGGUUAAAUUUUCAUCAAUCCGUCCAUUUUAUGCGUUAAUAGAAGCCGUUCGAGAUUCGGUAGCGUAAAUUUCAAUCUUCAAAAAUAGAGGAAGUAACAAAUAAAAGUAGGUGAUAAAAGAUAAAAGAGCGUUUAUUUGAGCUUCUUUUGGGAAUCUGUUUUAGCCAGUUCUUCAAAAUGGCAAAAUUCACCUGCUGCUUCAGGCUAUCUGGGGAGGAGAAGGAAAAAAAGGUUGGUGAGAUAUCAUCAAGAUCUGCUGAGUUCAACAAGGGGAUCAAGACAUUGAAAAUUAGGCUUGAGCAUCCAGUGAAACCUUACGAGAGUGAUGAGUUGAAAACGACCUCUUUUAGCGUGUCAGUGGACUCGGUACCUUUGGUGCAGAAGGAUUUUCCGAGUGUCAAGUUAACGAGUCAUGAGGGUCUGGGUAGGGAUGAAGCACCAGAGGUUGCAUAUGAGGGGGGAGAUGAACACGAGGAGAAUGCCUCGAUGAAGAGGGACUUGUCUGAUAUCAAUCUCCAAGGCCACGGACCUAAUUCAGGUGAAGAGUUCACUCCAGUAAGUCCAAAAUUCAGUUUCUCUAAUUCAUUUGAUAUCAAGGUCGAUGAACAAUUUGCAAACAAAGCUGAGAAACUUAGUGACAAGGGUAUUCAUGAGAUCCAAAGUGGUCAUGUUAGUGAUCCUGGGAUUGGUAAGGCUGAGUUCUGGGGUUCACCUAAGCUUAAACGGUCUUGCUCUAACCUCGAAACGAGCAAAGUGCUAAAAAGAAUGACCGAUCAUUCUGCUCCUUCAAAAUCCCCAUAUUCUGGUGAGUCGCAAGAAAUAGAUGAGAAAUUGAGGGAACCUGGCAGCCCUGUAUCUAUAACAAGCCAUCGCAGCGCUGAUAGAGUGAUUUUAAAAAAACAUUCCUCAAGCCAAGUUCUACCAUCAAGAAGUAGAAAGCUGUGGUGGAAAUUGUUUCUCUGGAGCCACAGAAACCUGCAUAGACCGUGGAUAGUGAAACCAAAACCACAAGUAGUUAAUACUUCAAACCAGCAAUGUGGGUAUGCUUCAGAUACAGUUGAGCCAAAUCAAGCUAUCAUAUCGAGCAACAUACAAUCUCCAGGGUCAUUUACUGGGGAUUCCUUGAACAAAGGAUGCGACAACAAUUAUGAUGACAAUCAGAGCUGGUACGAUUUUCAUGGUGGGAUAUCUGGCCGAUGGCCUCAGAAACACUGGGUUGCUUUCUCAAUGGAACCAUCCCCUUUUACAAGAGUGGAUGAGUGGGUAAAGGAUCUUGAGACCCAAGCACCACCUCCUCAUAGUUAUGAUGAUAAUGAUGCAGAUAAUAGUGGUGAGGGCAUUGUCUUCCCACCCUCUCCUGAGACUGGUAGAUCACCAGGAAGAACCACGGCCAACUUGACUCGACGUCCAGACUUUAAUAUCUCAGAGGAGAUUUUGCAUGCCAAUGCUGUCAUCCAAUCUCUGAAUCCUUGCUCAACUGUAGCUCACAUAUCUGGUACUGGCUUAAAGGCCAUUCCCACCUUAUCAUGCUUCACCAGUCUUCGAUCUGUUAACUUGUCUAACAAUUUCAUAGUCUAUAUCAGCCCAGGAUCAUUACCUAAAGGCCUCCACACGCUCAAUUUGUCAAGAAACAAAAUCAGUACCAUUGAAGGACUCAGAGAAUUAACUCGACUGCGAGGGCUUGAUCUCAGUUACAAUCGCAUUUCUCGAAUUGGACAAGGGUUAUCAAACUGUACAAUAAUCAAAGAACUGUACCUUGCUGGGAACAAGAUUAGUGAUGUAGAGGGCCUACACAGGCUUCUGAAGCUUACAGUCCUAGACCUGAGCUUUAACAAGAUAACAACAACAAAAGCUCUGGGGCAGCUUGUUGCUAACUAUAACUCAUUGCAAGCUCUGAAUUUGUUGGGCAAUCCAAUUCAGAGCAACAUCAGUGAUGACCAGCUUCGCAAGGCAGUUUGUGGUCUCCUUCCAAAGCUAGUUUACCUAAACAAACAGUCCAUCAAACCGCAGAGAGCACGAGAAGUUCUUACAGAUAGCGUUGCCAAAGCAGCCCUUGGGGGGACCAACAGCAGUUGGAGCUCUCGCAGAAGAGCAGCAAAGAGAACAAGCUCCAAUGGUUCAGCCUCCUCCAAUUUACACAGGAAUAGUGUUGGUGCAAAACAGAAAAGUAAGAGCAGGUCAAAGAGCCGAACACAUCACCUAAAGACAAUGUCAUCAAAGCAUGCUUCUUCCUCCCGUUAAAAGUUUUCCCAUGCAGGAAACCUUCCCUAGUAAUUCAAUAUCACUCUGUUAAACAGU